This 469-nucleotide ribosomal RNA is filed under the name uncultured Verrucomicrobiota bacterium. RNAcentral's name for it is "bacterial SSU rRNA". It matches the Rfam family "Bacterial small subunit ribosomal RNA", at positions 13 to 420 of the family's 1533-position model. The record is from RNAcentral. Lineage: Bacteria; Pseudomonadati; Verrucomicrobiota.
UUGAUCCUGGCUCAGAACGAACGCUGGCGGCGUGGAUAAGACAUGCAAGUCGAGCGGGAUCUCUUUUGGUAGCAAUACCGAAGGAAGUCUAGCGGCGAACGGGUGCUUAACACGUGGGCAACCUGCCAAGAAGUGGGGGAUAGCUCGCCGAAAGGCGAAUUAAUACCGCAUGUGAUUAGAGAGGACAUCCUUUCGAAAUUAAAGUCGGGGCAACCUGACGCUUUUUGUGGGGCCCGCGGCCUAUCAGCUAGUUGGUGAGGUAACGGCCCACCAAGGCUUUGACGGGUAGCUGGUCUGAAAGGAAUACAACCGCCCCCCCACUUUAGGAGGGGGGAGGCAGUAUUAGGAAGGCACAAUCAACACAAUCCUAGACAAAGCGAUAACUAAAGAAUAAUGAUAGUACGUCGCAAGGAGGAGGGGUGAGGAACAAACAGUCAUAGCAGAGCCGCAAGGGAGCGGGGCGCGCAGC